AGUUUUAUUCUUGCUAAAGUGUUCAGUAUUUUCUUAUUUUAUAUGUAAGUUGUUGCAUGAUUGUUUUUUCUCUUUCUUAAUGGUAGUUAAAGUUUAUGUUGAUAUAAGUCACAUUAUUUAUUAUUAUAAAUCUUGGCCUCUUGGAUUUAGUAAUGGUUAUUAGUACUGGUUAAGUUUGUGCCAGCAGCCGCGGUUAUACAUUAAGUGCUAUUGAAUAUUUUCGGUUUUGUAGUUAUAUAAUUUGUUUUUGGCUUGAGGGGUUUUAUUUUUAGGUGGAAUUAUUAAUUUUUGGUUAUUGCCUAUUUACUUAUUUUAAGCUAUGAAAUCUUUUUAUUAAACUAGGAUUAGAUACCCUAUUAUUUUUGAUGUAAAUUUUAUUUCCUGGGUAGUAUUAGUUAUGAUCUUGAAACUUAAAGAAUUUGGCGGUGUCCUAUUCCUUUCAGAGGAAUCUGCCCUUUUAUCGAUAGCCCGCGUUGGACCUUACUCAUAUUUUGUUUGUAUACCGCCGUUAUAGUGAAGAUCUUUAUAGUGUGGAAAUUUUCUAGAUUCAUGAGUUUGAUUUAUUUCAGGUCAAGGUGCAGCUUGUUUUUGAGUUUGAGGUGGAUUACACUGUUAUUUGAUUAUUGGAUUAUUAGUUGAUACUAUUAGUAGGAAAUUGGAUUUGAUUGUAAUCUGUUGAAGAUUGUUUGGAUGAUCAUGGUUCUAGGACAUGCACACAUCGCCCGUCACUCUCAUUAUUUGUUGAGAUAAGUCGUAACAAAGUGGUCGUACCGGAAGGUGUGGCUGGAAUGAU
RNAcentral lists this non-coding RNA (793 nucleotides) under Calcaritermes temnocephalus. Lineage: Eukaryota; Metazoa; Arthropoda; Insecta; Blattodea; Kalotermitidae. The record is from RNAcentral.